RNAcentral lists this ribosomal RNA (767 nucleotides) under uncultured Granulicatella sp. Its description in RNAcentral is "bacterial SSU rRNA". It matches the Rfam family "Bacterial small subunit ribosomal RNA", at positions 28 to 776 of the family's 1533-position model. The record is from RNAcentral. Lineage: Bacteria; Bacillati; Bacillota; Bacilli; Lactobacillales; Carnobacteriaceae.
GACGAACGCUGGCGGCGUGCCUAAUACAUGCAAGUCGAACGAGAGCGACCGGUGCUUGCACUGGUCAAUCUAGUGGCGAACGGGUGAGUAACACGUGGGUAACCUGCCCAUCAGAGGGGGAUAACAUUCGGAAACGGAUGCUAAAACCGCAUAGGUCCUUUAACCGCAUGGUUGAAGGAGGAAAAGAGGCGCAAGCUUCUGCUGAUGGAUGGACCCGCGGUGCAUUAGCUAGUUGGUGAGGUAACGGCUCACCAAGGCCGUGAUGCAUAGCCGACCUGAGAGGGUGAUCGGCCACAUUGGGACUGAGACACGGCCCAAACUCCUACGGGAGGCAGCAGUAGGGAAUCUUCCGCAAUGGACGCAAGUCUGACGGAGCAACGCCGCGUGAGUGAAGAAGGUUCUCGGAUCGUAAAACUCUGUUGUUAGAGAAGAACAAGUGCUAGAGUAACUGUUAGCGCCUUGACGGUAUCUAACCAGAAAGCCACGGCUAACUACGUGCCAGCAGCCGCGGUAAUACGUAGGUGGCAAGCGUUGUCCGGAUUUAUUGGGCGUAAAGCGAGCGCAGGCGGUUCCUUAAGUCUGAUGUGAAAGCCCCCGGCUCAACCGGGGAGGGUCAUUGGAAACUGGGGAACUUGAGUGCAGAAGAGGAGAGUGGAAUUCCAUGUGUAGCGGUGAAAUGCGUAGAUAUAUGGAGGAACACCAGUGGCGAAGGCGACUCUCUGGUCUGUAACUGACGCUGAGGCUCGAAAGCGUGGGUAGCAAACAGG